GCCUUAGUAGCGGCGAGUGAAGCGGCAAUAGCUCAAUUUGAAAUCUGCCAACAGGCCGAGUUGUAAUUUGAAGAAAGCAAUUCUGGGUGUGUCUCUGCUCAAGUUCCUUGGAACAGGACAUCAUGGAGGGUGAGAAUCCCGUGAUGCGGAGGUUGCAUAUCUGUGUAGAAUGUUUUCGACGAGUCGAGUUGUUUGGGAAUGCAGCUCAAAGUGGGUGGUAAAUUCCAUCUAAAGCUAAAUAUUGGCGAGAGACCGAUAGCGAACAAGUACUGUGAAGGAAAGAUGAAAAGAACUUUGAAAAGAGAGUGAAAAAGUACGUGAAAUUGUUGAAAUGGAAGGGCUUGAGAUUAGACAUGGUGCUAGUGUUCCCGCUUUCCUUCGGGUUGGCGUUCUCACUGGUACCGGGCCAGCAUCAGUUUUGGCGGGAGGAUAAAUGGCAUUGAAUGUAGCUGCUUGCAGUGUUAUAGCCUUGUCAAAUACUUCCAGCCGGGACUGAGGACCGCGCAUUUGCUAGGAUGCUGGCGUAAUGAUCUUAAGCCACCCGUCUUGAAACACGGACCAAGGAGUCUAUUGCCUAUGCGAGUGUUUGGGUGUAAAACCCGUACGCGUAAUGAAAGUGAACGUAGGUUGGAGCCCUUYUGGGUGCACAAUCGACCGAUCCUGACGUUUUCAGAUGGAUUUGAGUAAGAGCAUAGUUGAUGGGACCCGAAAGAUGGUGAACUAUGCCUGAAUAGGGUGAAGCCAGAGGAAACUCUSGUGGAGGCUCGUAGCGGUUCUGACGUGCAAAUCGAUCGUCAAAUUUGGGUAUAGACCGGUUG
This 818-nucleotide ribosomal RNA is filed under the name Wickerhamiella siamensis. RNAcentral describes it as "LSU rRNA". It matches the Rfam family "Eukaryotic large subunit ribosomal RNA", at positions 77 to 929 of the family's 3401-position model. The record is from RNAcentral. Lineage: Eukaryota; Fungi; Ascomycota; Dipodascomycetes; Dipodascales; Trichomonascaceae.